RNAcentral lists this ribosomal RNA (383 nucleotides) under uncultured bacterium. RNAcentral's name for it is "bacterial SSU rRNA". It matches the Rfam family "Bacterial small subunit ribosomal RNA", at positions 958 to 1340 of the family's 1533-position model. The record is from RNAcentral.
AACGCGAAGAACCUUACCUAGGCUUGAAAUCCUGAAAAGAUCGACCAAAAUUGAUUGUGCCCUUCGGGGAAUUCAGUGACAGGCGCUGCAUGGCUGUCGUCAGCUCGUGUCGUGAGAUGUUGGGUUAAGUCUCGCAACGAGCGCAACCCCUAUCUUUAGUUGCCAGCAUUUAGUUGGGCACUCUAGAGAGACUGCCUGGGUUAACCAGGAGGAAGGUGGGGAUGACGUCAAGUCCUCAUGGCCCUUAUGCCUAGGGCUACACACGUAAUACAAUGGUGCAUACAAAGGGACGCGACCUGGUAACAGUGAGCAAAUCUCAAAAAGUGCAUCUCAGUCCGGAUUGAAGUCUGCAACUCGACUUCAUGAAGUUGGAAUCGCUAGUA